AGUGAACGCUGGCGGUAGGCCUAACACAUGCAAGUCGAACGGCAGCACAGUAAGAGCUUGCUCUUACGGGUGGCGAGUGGCGGACGGGUGAGGAAUACAUCAGAAUCUACUUUUUCGUGGGGGAUAACGUAGGUAAACUUACGCUAAUACCGCAUACGACCUACGGGUGAAAGCAGGGGAUCUUCGGACCUUGCGCGAUUGAAUGAGCCGAUGUCGGAUUAGCUAGUUGGCGGGGUAAAGGCCCACCAAGGCGACGAUCCGUAGCUGGUCUGAGAGGAUGGUCAGCCACACGGGAACUGAGACACGGUCCAGACUCCUACGGGAGGCAGCAGUGGGGAAUAUUGGACAAUGGGCGCAAGCCUGAUCCAGCCAUACCGCGUGGGUGGAGAAGGCCUUCGGGUUGUAAAGCCCUUUUGUUGGGAAAGAAAAGCAGCAGGUUAAUACCCAGCUGUUCUGACGGUACCCAAAGAAUAAGCACCGGCUAACUUCGUG
Molecule: ribosomal RNA, 492 nt
Filed under: uncultured bacterium
Lineage: Bacteria
Description: partial 16S ribosomal RNA
Rfam family: Bacterial small subunit ribosomal RNA
Source: RNAcentral